Molecule: ribosomal RNA, 301 nt
Filed under: uncultured bacterium
Lineage: Bacteria
Description: partial 16S ribosomal RNA
Rfam family: Bacterial small subunit ribosomal RNA
Source: RNAcentral
CAGUCGCCGCGGGAAUACGGAGGGAGCUAGCGUUGUUCGGAAUUACUGGGCGUAAAGCGCACGUAGGCGGCUUUGUAAGUUAGAGGUGAAAGCCUGGAGCUCAACUCCAGAAUUGCCUUUAAGACUGCAUCGCUUGAAUCCAGGAGAGGUGAGUGGAAUUCCGAGUGUAGAGGUGAAAUUCGUAGAUAUUCGGAAGAACACCAGUGGCGAAGGCGGCUCACUGGACUGGUAUUGACGCUGAGGUGCGAAAGCGUGGGGAGCAAACAGGAUUAGAUACCCCCGUAGUCCCUGUCUCUUAUAU